GGACAAUGACAUCAUCCUGUCAGCGCGCGCACACCUGUUUCCUCGACGCGCGCCUCCCCACCCCCCCAUGCCCGCUGCAUGCACUUCCUGCUUUUCUUAAAGGGGCCGCCGCCCGCGCGCGCGCGCACAGAACUAAAGACUGAAUCGGACCAGAACCAGGUGGAGGGGAAGAGACCCCCCCCCACCCCCACAUGAAGAGCCUGGAGCAACCAGACGGCUCCAUCGCCGUGGUGAUGGCUGAUGGAGAGCGUACGGUCUGCAGGUGUGACAGGUGUGAAUGGAGGAACAGAGUGAAGAAGCAGGAAUCAGCCACAGAAGAUCCUCUGAAGGGUUCCUCCAGCCGCCACCAGAACCUCCAAACCGGGUCACGCACGCUCGGUUCUGAGGUCUGACUCUGGAAAAACAAGUCUUUGUCACACGCAUGCACGCGCAUGCACAUGCAUGCACACACGUGCACAUGCAUGCACACACAUGCACACACAUGCACAUUCACAUGCAUGCACACACAUGCACGUCCUCUCACAGCCUCCAGCGUGUGAAAGAAUUCCUGGGAAUGGAGCGUCUGAAUCACCGUCAUUCAUUUGCUAAUUUGGGACAACAAUGCAACAAUGGCCUCAUUACUGAUGCAGGAGGAGGGUUCUCACCCCCCUCCCUCUGCGCCUGUGAAGUAACCCCUCCCCCUUCCCCACAAAAAUAAACAUGUAUUUUGAAAAUGGGGUUGGAGUGACUCGACUGCAGCCGGAUGUGUGAUGAAGAACCGCAGCUGCAGCUCUUUAGAUUCUGUUUGAGUUCAUGAAGAUGAAAACAACACUGAGUCUAAAGUUAAGGUCAUAUCGUGAACAGAGGUCAUCACACUGGACAACCAGGGUGGGGCUUCCCCUUAUUGUAAGUUUUCUGCCAUUUCCCAGCGUGUGUCUGCCACCUACAGUUGGAAGAGUGUAAUGUCAAAUCAGUGAAGACCUGGUGAAUCUUAUUCCAGGGUUUUACUUUCACUGAUCUUCAGGUAAAUUAAAGGCUAAAAUUGUGAUUCUUCCCUCUGGCUCCUCCCCUAUCCCGACAUUUAGUCCUCCAAACGGAAUCAUGGAAAAAUGGUUUGUGUCCGAAUUCCCACCCUAAUCCAUAGCUACUAAAAAUGAUCUGGAUUUUAAAA
Long non-coding RNA from Oryzias melastigma (Indian medaka), 1150 nucleotides. RefSeq lists it as uncharacterized. The record is from RefSeq and is a predicted model, not a curated record. The transcript has 3 exons. Lineage: Eukaryota; Metazoa; Chordata; Actinopteri; Beloniformes; Adrianichthyidae.